GCCCAGGUGGCGGAACUGGUAGACGCACAGGACUUAAAAUCCUGCGAAUAGCGAUAUUCGUGCCGGUUCGAUUCCGGCUCUGGGCACCA
RNAcentral lists this transfer RNA (89 nucleotides) under Erysipelotrichaceae bacterium OttesenSCG-928-M19. Its description in RNAcentral is "tRNA-Leu". It matches the Rfam family "tRNA". From Rfam's summary of the family: Transfer RNA (tRNA) molecules are approximately 80 nucleotides in length. Their secondary structure includes four short double-helical elements and three loops (D, anti-codon, and T loops). Lineage: Bacteria; Bacillati; Bacillota; Erysipelotrichia; Erysipelotrichales; Erysipelotrichaceae. The record is from RNAcentral.